This 992-nucleotide ribosomal RNA is filed under the name Bacillus subtilis. RNAcentral describes it as "bacterial SSU rRNA". Lineage: Bacteria; Bacillati; Bacillota; Bacilli; Caryophanales; Bacillaceae. The record is from RNAcentral.
GUGCCUAAUACAUGCAAGUCGAGCGGRCAGAUGGGAGCUUGCUCCCUGAUGUUAGCGGCGGACGGGUGAGUAACACGUGGGUAACCUGCCUGUAAGACUGGGAUAACUCCGGGAAACCGGGGCUAAUACCGGAUGGUUGUUUGAACCGCAUGGUUCAAACAUAAAAGGUGGCUUCGGCUACCACUUACAGAUGGACCCGCGGCGCAUUAGCUAGUUGGUGAGGUAAYGGCUCACCAAGGCAACGAUGCGUAGCCGACCUGAGAGGGUGAUCGGCCACACUGGGACUGAGACACGGCCCAGACUCCUACGGGAGGCAGCAGUAGGGAAUCUUCCGCAAUGGACGAAAGUCUGACGGAGCAACGCCGCGUGAGUGAUGAAGGUUUUCGGAUCGUAAAGCUCUGUUGUUAGGGAAGAACAAGUACCGUUCGAAUAGGGCGGUACCUUGACGGUACCUAACCAGAAAGCCACGGCUAACUACGUGCCAGCAGCCGCGGUAAUACGUAGGUGGCAAGCGUUGUCCGGAAUUAUUGGGCGUAAAGGGCUCGCAGGCGGUUUCUUAAGUCUGAUGUGAAAGCCCCCGGCUCAACCGGGGAGGGUCAUUGGAAACUGGGGAACUUGAGUGCAGAAGAGGAGAGUGGAAUUCCACGUGUAGCGGUGAAAUGCGUAGAGAUGUGGAGGAACACCAGUGGCGAAGGCGACUCUCUGGUCUGUAACUGACGCUGAGGAGCGAAAGCGUGGGGAGCGAACAGGAUUAGAUACCCUGGUAGUCCACGCCGUAAACGAUGAGUGCUAAGUGUUAGGGGGUUUCCGCCCCUUAGUGCUGCAGCUAACGCAUUAAGCACUCCGCCUGGGGAGUACGGUCGCAAGACUGAAACUCAAAGGAAUUGACGGGGGCCCGCACAAGCGGUGGAGCAUGUGGUUUAAUUUCGAAGCAACGCGAAGAACCUUACCAGGUCUUGACAUCCUCUGACAAUCCUAGAGAUAGGACGUCC